UACGUAGGGGGCAAGCGUUGUCCGGAAUUAUUGGGCGUAAAGAGCGCGUAGGCGGUCCGAUAAGUCGGCUGUGAAAGUCCGGGGCUCAACUCCGGAUCUGCGGUGGGUACGGGCAGACUAGAGUGAUGUAGGGGAGACUGGAAUUCCUGGUGUAGCGGUGAAAUGCGCAGAUAUCAGGAGGAACACCGAUGGCGAAGGCAGGUCUCUGGGCAUUAACUGACGCUGAGGAGCGAAAGCAUGGGGAGCGAACAGG
Molecule: ribosomal RNA, 253 nt
Filed under: uncultured bacterium
Lineage: Bacteria
Description: partial 16S ribosomal RNA
Rfam family: Bacterial small subunit ribosomal RNA
Source: RNAcentral